AGACCAGUAGCUCAAGUGGAUAGAGCUCCGGACUCCAAAUCCGGGGGUUGGGGGUUCGAGUCCCUCCUGGUCUG
Molecule: transfer RNA, 74 nt
Filed under: Candidatus Moduliflexus flocculans
Lineage: Bacteria; Candidatus Moduliflexota; Candidatus Moduliflexia; Candidatus Moduliflexales; Candidatus Moduliflexaceae
Rfam family: tRNA
About the family: Transfer RNA (tRNA) molecules are approximately 80 nucleotides in length.
Source: Rfam by way of RNAcentral